UCGGACGUGGUGCACGGCGCACACCUGCUCCCCAUGACGCUCCCAACUGGUUAUCAUGCAGGAACCCUGGGUUCGACCCCCAGCGUCCGAA
Molecule: non-coding RNA, 91 nt
Organism: Mycena sp. CBHHK59/15
Lineage: Eukaryota; Fungi; Basidiomycota; Agaricomycetes; Agaricales; Mycenaceae
Source: the annotation of a GenBank genome assembly